UGGCUCAGGACGAACGCUGGCGGCGUGCCUAAUACAUGCAAGUCGAACGAACUCUGGUAUUGAUUGGUGCUUGCAUCAUGAUUUACAUUUGAGUGAGUGGCGAACUGGUGAGUAACACGUGGGAAACCUGCCCAGAAGCGGGGGAUAACACCUGGAAACAGAUGCUAAUACCGCAUAACAACUUGGACCGCAUGGUCCGAGCUUGAAAGAUGGCUUCGGCUAUCACUUUUGGAUGGUCCCGCGGCGUAUUAGCUAGAUGGUGGGGUAACGGCUCACCAUGGCAAUGAUACGUAGCCGACCUGAGAGGGUAAUCGGCCACAUUGGGACUGAGACACGGCCCAAACUCCUACGGGAGGCAGCAGUAGGGAAUCUUCCACAAUGGACGAAAGUCUGAUGGAGCAACGCCGCGUGAGUGAAGAAGGGUUUCGGCUCGUAAAACUCUGUUGUUAAAGAAGAACAUAUCUGAGAGUAACUGUUCAGGUAUUGACGGUAUUUAACCAGAAAGCCACGGCUAACUACGUGCCAGCAGCCGCGGUAAUACGUAGGUGGCAAGCGUUGUCCGGAUUUAUUGGGCGUAAAGCGAGCGCAGGCGGUUUUUUAAGUCUGAUGUGAAAGCCUUCGGCUCAACCGAAGAAGUGCAUCGGAAACUGGGAAACUUGAGUGCAGAAGAGGACAGUGGAACUCCAUGUGUAGCGGUGAAAUGCGUAGAUAUAUGGAAGAACACCAGUGGCGAAGGCGGCUGUCUGGUCUGUAACUGACGCUGAGGCUCGAAAGUAUGGGUAGCAAACAGGAUUAGAUACCCUGGUAGUCCAUACCGUAAACGAUGAAUGCUAAGUGUUGGAGGGUUUCCGCCCUUCAGUGCUGCAGCUAACGCAUUAAGCAUUCCGCCUGGGGAGUACGGCCGCAAGGCUGAAACUCAAAGGAAUUGACGGGGGCCCGCACAAGCGGUGGAGCAUGUGGUUUAAUUCGAAGCUACGCGAAGAACCUUACCAGGUCUUGACAUACUAUGCAAAUCUAAGAGAUUAGACGUUCCCUUCGGGGACAUGGAUACAGGUGGUGCAUGGUUGUCGUCAGCUCGUGUCGUGAGAUGUUGGGUUAAGUCCCGCAACGAGCGCAACCCUUAUUAUCAGUUGCCAGCAUUAAGUUGGGCACUCUGGUGAGACUGCCGGUGACAAACCGGAGGAAGGUGGGGAUGACGUCAAAUCAUCAUGCCCCUUAUGACCUGGGCUACACACGUGCUACAAUGGAUGGUACAACGAGUUGCGAACUCGCGAGAGUAAGCUAAUCUCUUAAAGCCAUUCUCAGUUCGGAUUGUAGGCUGCAACUCGCCUACAUGAAGUCGGAAUCGCUAGUAAUCGCGGAUCAGCAUGCCGCGGUGAAUACGUUCCCGGGCCUUGUACACACCGCCCGUCACACCAUGAGAGUUUGUAACACCCAAAGUCGGUGGGGUAACCUUUUAGGAACCAGCCGCCUAAGGUGGGACAGAUGAUUAGGGUGAAGUCGUAACAA
Molecule: ribosomal RNA, 1509 nt
Filed under: Lactiplantibacillus plantarum
Lineage: Bacteria; Bacillati; Bacillota; Bacilli; Lactobacillales; Lactobacillaceae
Description: Lactobacillus plantarum partial 16S ribosomal RNA
Rfam family: Bacterial small subunit ribosomal RNA
Source: RNAcentral